UGGGAUGGAUCCCCAGGUAUGC
This 22-nucleotide unclassified non-coding RNA is filed under the name Mus musculus (house mouse). Its description in RNAcentral is "oocyte_clustered_small_RNA7482". The record is from RNAcentral. Lineage: Eukaryota; Metazoa; Chordata; Mammalia; Rodentia; Muridae.